ACGGCAGCACGGGAGCAAUCCUGGUGGCGAGUGGCGAACGGGUGAGUAAUAUAUCGGAACGUGCCCAGUCGUGGGGGAUAACGUAGCGAAAGCUACGCUAAUACCGCAUACGAUCUAUGGAUGAAAGCGGGGGAUCGCAAGACCUCGCGCGAUUGGAGCGGCCGAUAUCAGAUUAGGUAGUUGGUGAGGUAAAGGCUCACCAAGCCGACGAUCUGUAGCUGGUCUGAGAGGACGACCAGCCACACUGGGACUGAGACACGGCCCAGACUCCUACAGGAGGCAGCAGUGGGGAAUUUUGGACAAUGGGCGCAAGCCUGAUCCAGCAAUGCCGCGUGCAGGAUGAAGGCCUUCGGGUUGUAAACUGCUUUUGUACGGAACGAAACGGUGAGCUCUAAUACAGUUUGCUAAUGACGGUACCGUAAGAAUAAGCACCGGCUAACUACGUGCCAGCAGCCGCGGUAAUACGUAGGGUGCGAGCGUUAAUCGGAAUUACUGGGCGUAAAGCGUGCGCAGGCGGUGAUGUAAGACAGAUGUGAAAUGCCCGGGCUCAACCUGGGACCUGCAUUUGUGACUGCAUCGCUAGAGUACGGUAGAGGGGGAUGGAAUUCCGCGUGUAGCAGUGAAAUGCGUAGAUAUGCGGAGGAACACCGAUGGCGAAGGCAAUCCCCUGGACCUGUACUGACGCUCAUGCACGAAAGCGUGGGGAGCAAACAGGAUUAGAUACCCUGGUAGUCCACGCCCUAAACGAUGUCAACUGGUUGUUGGGUCUUCACUGACUCAGUAACGAAGCUAACGCGUGAAGUUGAC
RNAcentral lists this ribosomal RNA (807 nucleotides) under uncultured beta proteobacterium. Its description in RNAcentral is "bacterial SSU rRNA". It matches the Rfam family "Bacterial small subunit ribosomal RNA", at positions 66 to 869 of the family's 1533-position model. The record is from RNAcentral. Lineage: Bacteria; Pseudomonadati; Pseudomonadota; Betaproteobacteria.